Molecule: transfer RNA, 69 nt
Filed under: Tabachnickia sp. DVL-2014
Lineage: Eukaryota; Metazoa; Porifera; Hexactinellida; Amphidiscosida; Hyalonematidae
Description: tRNA-His
Rfam family: tRNA
About the family: Transfer RNA (tRNA) molecules are approximately 80 nucleotides in length. Their secondary structure includes four short double-helical elements and three loops (D, anti-codon, and T loops). Further hydrogen bonds mediate the characteristic L-shaped molecular structure. tRNAs have two regions of fundamental functional importance: the anti-codon, which is responsible for specific mRNA codon recognition, and the 3' end, to which the tRNAs corresponding amino acid is attached (by aminoacyl-tRNA synthetases). tRNAs cope with the degeneracy of the genetic code in two manners: having more than one tRNA (with a specific anti-codon) for a particular amino acid; and 'wobble' base-pairing, i.e. permitting non-standard base-pairing at the 3rd anti-codon position.
Source: RNAcentral
AAUGAUAUAAUUUAAACAAAAUAAAAGACUGUGAUUCUUAUUCUGAAAGUUAAAAUCUUUCUAUCAUUC